Molecule: long non-coding RNA, 1730 nt
Organism: Monodelphis domestica (gray short-tailed opossum)
Lineage: Eukaryota; Metazoa; Chordata; Mammalia; Didelphimorphia; Didelphidae
Source: Ensembl
AGGACAACAAAGCGGGCCUGGCUGUUUUUAGCUCUUUUUGGGGAAAGGGGGAGGAUCAAAGAAGGGUAGGACAGGGCUGGGGGCGGCUGGGAGGCAGGAAUGCCUGGCUCGGUGGCGGCUUCUAAAAAAAGCCGCGUUCCUUCGACCCUGCCGGGCGCCCGACUUUGGUCUUUUUUCUGCCUCUUCAUGGCUGAACUUGUGGAAAAGUGGCCUCGGCUUCCUCAGGCCUCCCACUCGGCAGGCAGGCCGGCCCGGCUCCCCCUCUCAGAUUUCUGUCCCCGCCCCGCUUCCUCCCAGGACAUUCUGGUGACCUCCUGAGGGCCGUCGGCCUCCGCUCGGCCCUCCUUCUGCCUAGAGCCUCCCGGGCCUCCUCUCUGUGCCCCUGCCCCUACCCCGAGGCCCUGCCAGAUCCCCUGCCCUUGGCACUGGCUCCCCUGUCCAGGGGGGCCCUUGUUCUCUGGGGCUCGGUGGGCCCUCCAGCUCGUCUUCGUCCAUGCCCUGCCCUGGGGAAGGCGCCUCCGUCCUGGCAGUCCCCCAGGCCACAGCUUUGGAGAGGAGGGGAGGACACUGAGGGUCAGAGUGGCCACAGGAUCUCUAGGUUCCGGGUUCGAAUCCUUCCUCAGCGGCACGCUUACUAGCUGUGUGUCCCUUAACCUCCCAGCACAGACGCACGCCAGGUCCUGCCUAUUGCCAGAAGACGCCCUGGGACCCAGGGAUGCCCAUUCUGCCCCUGUCCUGGAGCAGGCCAAACGGGGGGCCUGGCAGGCUCCCAAAGAAUCUAAAGCUCCCCCAAGCGAGGCGGAUCUCCCUCCAGCAGAGCCGGAGCCCCCUCACACUCCCCCCACCUCACACGGCAGAUGGUCCCCAUCAGGGCGCGAAGCAAACAAGCCAAAUAUUUCCUUCAGCCCGAGCGCGCGGCAGCCUGUCCUGCUUCACGGCUCCGUCAGCCUUGGGCACGGUUUGGGGUGACAGCCCGGCCCAAUUCCAGCUGCUCCUCCAGAAAAGGGGGAGGGGCUGUGCCACAGGGACGCGGCGCCUCCAUUGUGCCCCCCCAGACUGGCAGAGCUGAGGAAGGCAGCAAUCUGGCGGGCCCCAGUGCCCAGCCUCUAAAGGGCAGACGUCUGGUGGCAGGAAACUCACUGGGCUGCCUUCUCAAGGAGCCCUUCCCUCUUCCCUCGGUAUACAGUAUACAAGCCGUGGAGUGUGGAGUGGUUCCAAGGCAGAAGAGCAGUAAGGGGCAGACAGUGGGGGUUCUGACAUGCCAGAUUGGAACCCAGGACCUCCCGUCUCAAGGUCUGGCUCUAUCCAGUGAGCUGUCCUCUUCUUGGGCUUCUAAAGCUCAUCAGAGAUUUCGCCCCUCCCAGGACUCACCCCUCGGUCCGGCCAAACUAGCCAGCAUGUUCCUUCAUGCAGUCACUCACCUCUUCUUUCUAGCCUCAGCUCGGGUGUCUGAAGCAGGACCCCCGAUCCCAGCGCCCAAAGCUGCUCUGUCUCUGCUAGCUUCUCCUUUUCUACCUAAGUAUGAGCCAUCUCAACGCCCCCAACAGCCCCUGAGCAAUAAAUGGGUAACAACAACAACAGCAGCUAAUAUUUAUAAAGCGCUACUCCAUGCCGGGUACCGGACUAAGCACUUUGUGAUUAUUAUCUCAUUUGAUCUCACCACCACCUUGGAAGGCAUGCAGAGCCCCAUUUUACAGAUGAGGACCCUGAGGCAAAUAGAUGUUAAGUGA